AGGUGCAUCAAUCAAAAUUCAAACUUGAUUGGUAUACAUGGAGUCCAUUUCAGAUUUUAUAGCAUUGAGCCAUUUGUCAAAGUCACUACUCAUGACAGCUUUUGAAUAGGUCAUAGGAUCAUCAUUUUCAAUAAUGUGGGAUGUGUUGUCAUUCUCAAUGAUAAAUCUAUACCUGAGUGGUACAUUACGCACUCUACUUGACCUUCGAAAGGAG
This 214-nucleotide long non-coding RNA is filed under the name Elaeis guineensis (African oil palm). RNAcentral describes it as "long non-coding RNA (EGUI_LNC032924)". The record is from RNAcentral. Lineage: Eukaryota; Viridiplantae; Streptophyta; Magnoliopsida; Arecales; Arecaceae.